Molecule: long non-coding RNA, 564 nt
Organism: Pogoniulus pusillus (Red-fronted tinkerbird)
Lineage: Eukaryota; Metazoa; Chordata; Aves; Piciformes; Lybiidae
Exons: 4
Source: RefSeq, a predicted model, not a curated record
GAGAGGAAAACACUGCAAGGGUGCGUUUGCAAGAGCUGGCAUGGACACCUGGCUGCAUGGCUGCAAGGCUGCCAAAUUGCUCUCAGGGAACAGCAUGAAUCGUGAGUGAAGCUGGAUCUACCUCACUUAAUGCACUUGGAUGGUGUCAUUCAUAUCCUUACACCCACUCUGCUGCUAAAAGCUCAUCAGAGGACUCCUGGACUCAUGGGUGAGACGAUGGGCAGAGCAGAUCACAGAAGACUUUGCCAGUGAUGUUAUUGCUCAACGGACAAAGUGUUUGGGAAAUGCAGGCUAUUUCUUGGCACGUGGACCAGCCUUCACCAGCAAAAGACUUUCCAUGCUUGGCAAACACACCACAGAGCCACCAGCAAAUCCAGGCAAUGACACUACCUGGAGCACACUGGGAACAAGGCUUGCCAAACUGCAGUUCUCUCAAGUACCUGCCCUUCUGAAGCAAGAAACCAACGUGAUGAACUCACAGAAUCACUCUCGUUGGAAAAGAUCCUCAUGAAGUCCAACCAUUAUAUACUCUACCAGGACUACUACUACGCCAUGUGCUUGAAC